RNAcentral lists this non-coding RNA (125 nucleotides) under marine eukaryotic metagenome. Its description in RNAcentral is "SAM riboswitch (S box leader)". It matches the Rfam family "SAM riboswitch aptamer (S box leader)". From Rfam's summary of the family: The SAM riboswitch is found upstream of a number of genes which code for proteins involved in methionine or cysteine biosynthesis in Gram-positive bacteria. The SAM riboswitch acts at the level of transcription termination control. The record is from RNAcentral.
UCUUAUCAAGAGAGGCAGAGGGAACGGCCCUUCGAUGCCCAGCAACCAUUCGGAAUUAAUAACUUCGGAACGGUGCCAAAUCCGACGAACUAAACUUUUUAAUUAGUGUUUGUUCGAGAGAUGAG